Non-coding RNA from Lupinus albus (white lupine), 233 nucleotides. NCBI's taxonomy places the organism in Eukaryota, Viridiplantae, Streptophyta, Magnoliopsida, Fabales, Fabaceae. The record is from the annotation of a GenBank genome assembly.
UUUGAGUCCACAAAAAAGAAAUACACGCCCAUAGAAACGACCCCAUUUUGUUUUCUAAUAUAUAAACCGAUUUUCGGCAACAGUCACAAAACGCAGAAGCUGAAGCAGAGGAGGUAGGGUAACAAUGGCGGUUCCACUACUUACCAAGAAGAUCGUCAAGAAGCGCGUCAAGAGAUUCAAGCGCCCCCAGAGCGAUCGUAAAAUCUCUGUCAAGGGUUGAAGGGGCUGCUUAU